Molecule: long non-coding RNA, 201 nt
Filed under: Musa acuminata (dwarf banana)
Lineage: Eukaryota; Viridiplantae; Streptophyta; Magnoliopsida; Zingiberales; Musaceae
Description: long non-coding RNA (MACU_LNC011909)
Source: RNAcentral
UGGGUGGCUUAGCCCAGGCGGUGCCACCUCCUGGCCUAGGCGGUUGCACCUCCUGGUGCAAUCAGGGUCCGAAUGGUUAGUUCCAUUCGGCCCAAUUUCAGUCUUUCAGGGGGCCCAAUUGCCCCAAGAUUAAGCCAAUGGGAUCACCUCCCAUUUUCCAACUUAAUCAAUGUGCUAACUACGAUUAAAUCUAAGACAAUU